RNAcentral lists this ribosomal RNA (253 nucleotides) under uncultured bacterium. Its description in RNAcentral is "partial 16S ribosomal RNA". It matches the Rfam family "Bacterial small subunit ribosomal RNA", at positions 524 to 776 of the family's 1533-position model. The record is from RNAcentral.
UACGUAGGGGGCAAGCGUUGCCCGGAUUUAUUGGGCGUAAAGAGCGUGUAGGCGGCCUGACAGGUCUGCUGUGAAAACUCGAGGCUCAACCUCGAGAUGUCGGCGGAAACCGUCUGGCUAGAGUCCGGAAGAGGAGAGUGGAAUUCCUGGUGUAGCGGUGAAAUGCGCAGAUAUCGGGAAGAACACCCGUGGCGAAGGCGGCUCUCUGGAACGCAACUGACGCUGAGACGCGAAAGCGUGGGGAGCAAACAGG